GAGCGCAACCCUUAUCCUUUGUUGCCAGCGAUUCGGUCGGGAACUCAAAGGAGACUGCCAGUGAUAAACUGGAGGAAGGUGGGGAUGACGUCAAGUCAUCAUGGCCCUUACGACCAGGGCUACACACGUGCUACAAUGGCGCAUACAAAGAGAAGCGACCUCGCGAGAGCAAGCGGACCUCAUAAAGUGCGUCGUAGUCCGGAUUGGAGUCUGCAACUCGACUCCAUGAAGUCGGAAUCGCUAGUAAUCGUGGAUCAGAAUGCCACGGUGAAUACGUUCCCGGGCCUUGUACACACCGCCCGUCACACCAUGGGAGUGGGUUGCAAAAGAAGUAGGUAGCUUAACCUUCGGGAGGGCGCUUACCACUUUGUGAUUCAUGACUGGGGUGAAGUCGUAACAAGGUAACCGUAGGGGAACCUGC
RNAcentral lists this ribosomal RNA (421 nucleotides) under Salmonella enterica subsp. enterica serovar Agona. RNAcentral describes it as "bacterial SSU rRNA". It matches the Rfam family "Bacterial small subunit ribosomal RNA", at positions 1094 to 1515 of the family's 1533-position model. The record is from RNAcentral. Lineage: Bacteria; Pseudomonadati; Pseudomonadota; Gammaproteobacteria; Enterobacterales; Enterobacteriaceae.